RNAcentral lists this small RNA (78 nucleotides) under Salmonella enterica subsp. enterica serovar Muenchen. RNAcentral's name for it is "partial RtT sRNA". It matches the Rfam family "RtT RNA", at positions 48 to 130 of the family's 130-position model. Rfam says of the family: This family represents a bacterial cis-regulatory element known as RtT RNA. The exact function of RtT is unknown although it is thought that it may be involved in changing the cellular response in relation to amino acid starvation. RNAcentral also lists the same sequence under 21 other names. The record is from RNAcentral. Lineage: Bacteria; Pseudomonadati; Pseudomonadota; Gammaproteobacteria; Enterobacterales; Enterobacteriaceae.
UUGAACGUGAAGGAUAACGUUGCGUCAGCAACGGCCCGUAGGGCGAGGCGAAGCCGAGUCAUCCUGCACGACCCACCA